CGGCGGACGGGUGAGUAACACGUGGAUAACCUACCUAUAAGACUGGGAUAACUUCGGGAAACCGGAGCUAAUACCGGAUAAUAUAUUGAACCGCAUGGUUCAAUAGUGAAAGACGGUUUUGCUGUCACUUAUAGAUGGAUCCGCGCCGCAUUAGCUAGUUGGUAAGGUAACGGCUUACCAAGUCAACGAUGCGUAGCCGACCUGAGAGGGUGAUCGGCCACACUGGAACUGAGACACGGUCCAG
RNAcentral lists this ribosomal RNA (244 nucleotides) under uncultured Staphylococcus sp. RNAcentral's name for it is "partial 16S ribosomal RNA". It matches the Rfam family "Bacterial small subunit ribosomal RNA", at positions 96 to 334 of the family's 1533-position model. The record is from RNAcentral. Lineage: Bacteria; Bacillati; Bacillota; Bacilli; Caryophanales; Staphylococcaceae.